RNAcentral lists this ribosomal RNA (274 nucleotides) under uncultured bacterium. RNAcentral's name for it is "partial 16S ribosomal RNA". It matches the Rfam family "Bacterial small subunit ribosomal RNA", at positions 523 to 796 of the family's 1533-position model. The record is from RNAcentral.
AUACGGAGGGUGCGAGCGUUACUCGGAGCCACUGGGCGUAAAGCGUCCGUAGGCGGUCGGGUAAGUCGGGUGUGAAAGCCCCGGGCUCAACCUGGGAAGUGCACCCGAUACUGCUCGACUCGAGUGCGGGAGAGGAUGGCGGAAUUCCCGGUGUAGCGGUGAAAUGCGUAGAGAUCGGGAGGAACACCAGUGGCGAAGGCGGCCAUCUGGCCCGCAACUGACGCUGAGGGACGAAAGCGUGGGGAGCAAACAGGAUUAGAUACCCUAGUAGUCC